UGACCGCUGGCGGCGUGCCUAAUACAUGCACGUCGCGCGAACAGACGCGGAGCUUGCUCCUCUGACGUUAGCGGCGGACGGGUGAGUAACACGUGGAUAACCUACCUAUAAGACUGGGAUAACUUCGGGAAACCGGAGCUAAUACCGGAUAAUAUAUUGAACCGCAUGGUUCAAUAGUGAAAGACGGUUUUGCUGUCACUUAUAGAUGGAUCCGCGCCGCAUUAGCUAGUUGGUAAGGUAACGGCUUACCAAGGCAACGAUGCGUAGCCGACCUGAGAGGGUGAUCGGCCACACUGGAACUGAGACACGGUCCAGACUCCUACGGGAGGCAGCAGUAGGGAAUCUUCCGCAAUGGGCGAAAGCCUGACGGAGCAACGCCGCGUGAGUGAUGAAGGUCUUCGGAUCGUAAAACUCUGUUAUUAGGGAAGAACAAAUGUGUAAGUAACUAUGCACGUCUUGACGGUACCUAAUCAGAAAGCCACGGCUAACUACGUG
This 495-nucleotide ribosomal RNA is filed under the name uncultured bacterium. RNAcentral describes it as "partial 16S ribosomal RNA". It matches the Rfam family "Bacterial small subunit ribosomal RNA", at positions 30 to 507 of the family's 1533-position model. The record is from RNAcentral.